RNAcentral lists this ribosomal RNA (490 nucleotides) under uncultured bacterium. RNAcentral's name for it is "partial 16S ribosomal RNA". It matches the Rfam family "Bacterial small subunit ribosomal RNA", at positions 28 to 507 of the family's 1533-position model. The record is from RNAcentral.
GAUGAACGCUAGCGAUAGGCUUAACACAUGCAAGUCGAGGGGCAGCAUGGUCUUAGCUUGCUAAGACUGAUGGCGACCGGCGCACGGGUGCGUAACGCGUAUGCAACUUGCCUCACAGAGGGGGAUAACCCGUCGAAAGACGGACUAAUACCGCGUACACUCCAUCUUGGGCAUCCAAGGUAGAGGAAAUGAAAUUCGCUGUGAGAUAGGCAUGCGUCCCAUUAGCUAGUUGGUGAGGUAACGGCUCACCAAGGCGACGAUGGGUAGGGGAACUGAGAGGUUGAACCCCCACACUGGUACUGGGACACGGACCAGACUCCUACGGGAGGCAGCAGUGAGGAAUAUUGGUCAAUGGGCGAGAGCCUGAUCCAGCCAAGUCGCGUGAAGGAUGACUGUCUUAUGGAUUGUAAACUUCUGUUAUACGGGAAUAACAAGAGUCACGUGUGACUCCCUGCCUGUACCGGAUGAAUAAGCAUCGGCUAACUCCGUG